This is a long non-coding RNA of Salvia miltiorrhiza (redroot sage), 1359 nucleotides long. RefSeq lists it as uncharacterized. The record is from RefSeq and is a predicted model, not a curated record. NCBI's taxonomy places the organism in Eukaryota, Viridiplantae, Streptophyta, Magnoliopsida, Lamiales, Lamiaceae. The transcript has 3 exons.
UUUGUUUUAAUUUUGUUCAUUUUAUGCACUUGGGUGGACAGUACAAUGUCGACUUUGGGGCAUAAGAAAGUGUGUAUAUGUCUUGCUGUAGAAGAAAUUCUCCAUGAGCAAAUGUUGCAAUUGACUGUUGUUCUCGAUUACGUCGAGAAGGCAAAGUCACGGAAAAGAAAACGUAAUGGGAGGAGUGUAGCUUAUCGUAUAUUACACAGAAUACCAGAUCAAGUGAAGCACUUGAAUCGAAUUAUAGAUAUCAAUGAUGUUGAUUGUGUUACAAAUCUUAGGAUGGAUAGAAAUACAUUCGGUAGAUUGUGUCGACUUUUGAGGGAUUUAGAUGGGUUGACGAAUGGUCGUUAUGUGACUGUUGAGGAGCAAGUUGCUAUGUUUCUCUCUAUUUUAGCGCAUCACAAAAAAAUAGAGUUGUCAAAUUUGAUUUUUGGAGAAGUGGGCAAACAGUUUCGCACUAUAUUCACGUAGUCUUGCGAGCCAUUUUGAAGCUACAUGUAAUUCUUUUGGUAAAACCAACUGCGGUGCCGGAUGACUCGACGGAUCCACGUUGGAAAUGGUUUAAGGGUUGCUUAGGUGCAUUGGAUGGUACCUACAUCAAUGUUAUGGUGUCCAACAAUGACAAACCUCGAUAUAGAACGAGGAAGGGUCAGAUUUCAACCAAUACUCUCGCAGUUUGUGACAGGAAUUUGAAAUUUAUUUAUGUCUUGCCCGGGUGGGAAGGAUCAGCUGCUGACGCCCGAAUAUUGCGUGAUUCCCUCAACCGAGUGAAUGGAUUUAAAGUACCUAGAGGUUUGUAUUAUCUUUGUGACAACGGGUACGCGAACAGUGAAGGGUUUUUAACGCCGUACAAGGGUGUUAGGUACCACCUUAAAGAGUGGGGGCCAACUGUUGCACGACCUCGAAGCAUGGAGGAGCUGUUCAAUUUGAGGCACACACGAGCUCGGAAUGUAAUUGAGCGUGCAUUUGGUAUAAUGAAGAUGUGAUGGGGUGUAUUGCGCAGCACAACAUUUUACCCCAUCAAAGUGCAAAAUAGGCUUAUCAUGGCGUGCUUCCUAAUAAAUAAUUUUAUUAGGAAUGAGAUGAUCGUGGAUCCAAUAGAGCAGGCAUUUGACAACCUACCAACGGAGAAUGAAUUUGUGGAGCCUGAUCACGGUGAUUAUGUGGAUGCCGUUGAGCCCUCUGCCGAAUGGGCUGCAACUCGGGAUGCCAUGGCUCAAGCAAUGUGGCAACAAUAUGUUGAGGGGCACUAAUGUAGUCUUUGGUUGAAGAGCAUUUAUGUGUUUCUUAUUACAUUUGUUUGUGUAUUGUCUGACUUGAGAAUUCAGCUUGUUUUAUUUGAUGUUCAAACUUUGA